This 505-nucleotide ribosomal RNA is filed under the name uncultured bacterium. Its description in RNAcentral is "partial 16S ribosomal RNA". It matches the Rfam family "Bacterial small subunit ribosomal RNA", at positions 28 to 507 of the family's 1533-position model. The record is from RNAcentral.
GACGAACGCUGGCGGCGUGCCUAAUACAUGCAAGUAGAACGCACAGUUUAUACCGUAGCUUGCUACACCAUAAACUGUGAGUUGCGAACGGGUGAGUAACGCGUAGGUAACCUGCCUGGUAGCGGGGGAUAACUAUUGGAAACGAUAGCUAAUACCGCAUAAUAUUGAUUAUUGCAUGAUAAUUGAUUGAAAGAUGCUAUUGCAUCACUACCAGAUGGACCUGCGUUGUAUUAGCUAGUAGGUGAGGUAACGGCUCACCUAGGCGACGAUACAUAGCCGACCUGAGAGGGUGGGCGGCCACACUGGGACGGAGACACGGCCCAGACGCCUACGGGAGGCAGCAGUAGGGAAUCUUCGGCAAUGGACGAAAGUCUGACCGAGCAACGCCGCGUGAGUGAAGAAGGUUUUCGGAUCGGAAAGCUCUGUUGUAAGAGAAGAACGGGUGUGAGAGUGGAAAGUUCACACUGUGACGGUAUCUUACCAGAAAGGGACGGCUAACUACGUG